This 883-nucleotide ribosomal RNA is filed under the name uncultured bacterium. Its description in RNAcentral is "bacterial SSU rRNA". It matches the Rfam family "Bacterial small subunit ribosomal RNA", at positions 27 to 791 of the family's 1533-position model. The record is from RNAcentral.
GGACGAACGCUGGCGGCGUGCCUAACACAUGCAAGUCGAACGGACUUCUAGAUGUUGGACCUUGGACAUUGGACAUUAGAUAAAUUAAAGAAGUUUGCCGCCGGCAAACCGAAGAAAUUAUUUAAGCCAAAGUCGAAUGUCUAACGUCCAACGUCUAGGAGUUAGUGGCGAACGGGUGAGUAACGCGUGGGUAACCUGCCCUUGUAUCGGGGAUAACUUGCCGAAAGGUGAGCUAAUACCGGAUUCACUAUUAAGAUUGCAUGAUCUUGAUAGUAAAGGUGGCCUCUUAUAAAAGCUACCGUAUAAGGAUGGACCCGCGUCUGAUUAGCUAGUUGGUGAGGUAACGGCUCACCAAGGCGACGAUCAGUAGCCGGCCUGAGAGGGUGAACGGCCACACUGGGACUGAGACACGGCCCAGACUCCUACGGGAGGCAGCAGUGGGGAAUCUUCCGCAAUGGACGAAAGUCUGACGGAGCAACGCCGCGUGAGUGAAGAAGGUCUUCGGAUUGUAAAGCUCUGUUUUUUGGGAAGAACGGCCUUUAUGUAAAUAAUGUAGAGGAUUGACGGUACCAAAGGAGGAAGCCCCGGCUAACUACGUGCCAGCAGCCGCGGUAAUACGUAGGGGGCAAGCGUUGUCCGGAAUUAUUGGGCGUAAAGAGCGCGCAGGCGGCUAUUUAAGUCUACCGUGAAAGCUUACGGCUCAACCGUAACGGGCCGGUGGAUACUGGAUGGCUUGAGGGCAGGAGAGGAAAGUGGAAUUCCCAGUGUAGCGGUGAAAUGCGUAGAGAUUGGGAGGAACACCAGUGGCGAAGGCGACUUUCUGGACUGUUACUGACGCUGAGGCGCGAAAGCUGGGGGAGUGAACGGGAUUAGAUACCCCGGG